Molecule: ribosomal RNA, 253 nt
Filed under: uncultured bacterium
Lineage: Bacteria
Description: partial 16S ribosomal RNA
Rfam family: Bacterial small subunit ribosomal RNA
Source: RNAcentral
UACGUAGGAGGCAAGCGUUGUCCGGAAUCACUGGGCGUAAAGCGCACGUAGGCGGUUUGUUAAGUCAGGGGUGAAAUCCCAGAGCUCAACUCUGGAACUGCCUUUGAUACUGGCAAGCUAGAGUCCGGAAGAGGUAAGUGGAACUCCUAGUGUAGAGGUGGAAUUCGUAGAUAUUAGGAAGAACACCAGUGGCGAAGGCGGCUUACUGGUCCGGAACUGACGCUGAGGUGCGAAAGCGUGGGGAGCAAACAGG